RNAcentral lists this ribosomal RNA (301 nucleotides) under uncultured bacterium. RNAcentral describes it as "partial 16S ribosomal RNA". It matches the Rfam family "Bacterial small subunit ribosomal RNA", at positions 509 to 809 of the family's 1533-position model. The record is from RNAcentral.
CAGCCGCCGCGGUAAUACGAAGGGUGCAAGCGUUACUCGGAAUUACUGGGCGUAAAGCGUGCGUAGGUGGUGGUUUAAGUCCGUUGUGAAAGCCCUGGGCUCAACCUGGGAAUUGCAGUGGAUACUGGGUCACUAGAGUGUGGUAGAGGAUAGUGGAAUUUCCGGUGUAGCAGUGAAAUGCGUAGAGAUCGGAAGGAACAUCUGUGGCGAAGGCGACUAUCUGGGCCAACACUGACACUGAGGCACGAAAGCGUGGGGAGCAAACAGGAUUAGAUACCCGGGUAGUCCCUGUCUCUUAUAA